RNAcentral lists this ribosomal RNA (500 nucleotides) under uncultured bacterium. Its description in RNAcentral is "partial 16S ribosomal RNA". It matches the Rfam family "Bacterial small subunit ribosomal RNA", at positions 30 to 523 of the family's 1533-position model. The record is from RNAcentral.
AUUGAACGCUGGCGGCAUGCCUUACACAUGCAAGUCGAACGGCAGCACGGGAGCAAUCCUGGUGGCGAGUGGCGAACGGGUGAGUAAAGUAUCGGAACGUGCCCAGUCGUGGGGGAUAACGUAGCGAAAGUUACGCUAAUACCGCAUACGAUCUAUGGAUGAAAGCGGGGGAUCGCAAGACCUCGCGCGAUUGGAGCGGCCGAUAUCAGAUUAGGUAGUUGGUGGGGUAAAGGCUCACCGAGCCGACGAUCUGUAGCUGGUCUGAGAGGACGACCAGCCACACUGGGACUGAGAGACGGCCCAGACUCCUACGGGAGGCAGCAGUGGGGAAUUUUGGACAAUGGGCGAAAGCCUGAUCCAGCCAUGCCGCGUGCAGGAUGAAGGCCUUCGGGUUGUAAACUGCUUUUGUACGGAACGAAAAGGUUUGGGCUAAUAAGCUGAGCUCAUGACGGUACCGUAAGAAUAAGCACCGGCUAACUACGUGCCAGCCGCCGCCGUAA